RNAcentral lists this ribosomal RNA (429 nucleotides) under uncultured bacterium. RNAcentral's name for it is "partial 16S ribosomal RNA". It matches the Rfam family "Bacterial small subunit ribosomal RNA", at positions 29 to 506 of the family's 1533-position model. The record is from RNAcentral.
AACGAACGCUGGCGGCAGGCUUAACACAUGCAAGUCGAGCGCCCCGCAAGGGGAGCGGCAGACGGGUGAGUAACGCGUGGGAACGUACCUUUUGGUUCGGAACAACUCCGGGAAACUGGAGCUAAUACCGGAUAAGCCCUAACGGGGAAAGAUUUAUCGCCGAAAGAUCGGCCCGCGUCUGAUUAGCUAGUUGGUGAGGUAACGGCUCACCAAGGCGACGAUCCGUAGCUGGUCUGAGAGGAUGGUCAGCCAAACUGGGACUGAGACACGGCCCAGCCCCCCACGGGGGGCCGAGGUGGGAAAUAUUGGACAAGGGGCGAAACCCAAACCCACCCUUCCCGGGUGAGGUAUGAGGGCCUUAGGGUUUAAAAGCCUUUUUGUCCGGGAAAAUAAUGCUUGUACCGAAAAAAAAACCCCCGCCAACCUUCU